CUCCUACGGGAGGCAGCAAUUAGGAAUCUUGCACAAUGGGCGAAAGCCUGAUGCAGCGACGUCGCGUGAGGGAUGAAGUCUUUCGGGACGUAAACCUCUUUUAUCGGGGAAGAAACAAAUGACGGUACCCGGUGAAUAAGCCCCGGCUAACUACGUGCCAGCCGCCGCGGUAAU
RNAcentral lists this ribosomal RNA (174 nucleotides) under uncultured bacterium. Its description in RNAcentral is "partial 16S ribosomal RNA". It matches the Rfam family "Bacterial small subunit ribosomal RNA", at positions 336 to 524 of the family's 1533-position model. The record is from RNAcentral.